RNAcentral lists this ribosomal RNA (253 nucleotides) under uncultured bacterium. RNAcentral describes it as "partial 16S ribosomal RNA". It matches the Rfam family "Bacterial small subunit ribosomal RNA", at positions 524 to 776 of the family's 1533-position model. The record is from RNAcentral.
UACGUAGGGGGCGAGCGUUGUCCGAAGUUACUGGGCGUAAAGCGCGCGUAGGCGGUUGUUUAAGUUAGAUGUGAAAUCCCGCGGCCCAACUGCGGAACUGCAUCUGAAACUGGGCGACUUGAGGACGGAAGAGGGCAGUGGAAUUCCUGGUGUAGCGGUGAAAUGCGUAGAUAUCAGGAGGAACACCGGUGGCGAAGGCGGCUGCCUGGUCCGUAUCUGACGCUGAGGUGCGAAAGCUAGGGUAGCGAACGGG